Nicotiana attenuata is the source of this 107-nucleotide small nucleolar RNA. It matches the Rfam family "Plant small nucleolar RNA R71". Rfam says of the family: R71 is a member of the C/D box family of snoRNAs containing the C (UGAUGA) and D (CUGA) box motifs. Multiple nearly identical copies of this snoRNA have been identified in Arabidopsis, and it is thought to function as a 2'-O-ribose methylation guide for 18S ribosomal RNA. The record is from Rfam. Lineage: Eukaryota; Viridiplantae; Streptophyta; Magnoliopsida; Solanales; Solanaceae.
UAAUUGUAAUGAGGACAGUCUCUGAGUAGCCCCUUGAACUUCUCCCCAGCUGAGUAUAAAGACUCCUCCGCUUUCUGUUUGAAGGUCGCUAUUUCACUUCUAAACUU